Molecule: long non-coding RNA, 840 nt
Organism: Eucalyptus grandis
Lineage: Eukaryota; Viridiplantae; Streptophyta; Magnoliopsida; Myrtales; Myrtaceae
Exons: 2
Source: RefSeq, a predicted model, not a curated record
GGCUAAUAAAUCAUGCAUCCCAGUAGAGAAAUCCUACCUACAGAGGCUUCAGAGCUUCAAAAGGAAGCUCAAAGGAGAAUUCAACUUGAGGUACAGAGGAAGCUGCAGGAGAGAAUAGAGGCCAACGAGAAGUAACUGAAGGCAAUUACAGAGGAACAACAAAAGAGAGCCUCGCUUGAUGGGAGCAAUCCUGCGAAUCUGGAGGGCGCAAGAGCCCAAAGAGCCGACUUCAAUUUGGCCAUCUCCAACUCUGUCGACCUCGCGCGUGAAAGAGGAGGUGGUGGUGGAGAGAGGGACAACAGCAACAUCAGCAACAUGACGAUGGGCAAGAAAGAAGAGAUGUACGAGAGAGGAGGCCAUUAAAGUCGUGGCUCACCAUUCAGAAAUAUGAAGGUGAGGCCGCCACACUUGCGGGAUCAUCCUCAAAUCCACCCCAACUAUUCAUCCUGGACUCACCAAGCCCUAGGGACGAUUCCAUCCUCCUAAGUUUCAACACUAGCCGCACUGCCGAACAAGGCAAUUGCAUCAACACCCGUCUUCUUCGACUUUCUAUCAGUGAAUCAUGAGCAAUAGUUGCCCAAUGAGGAUGAUCUGAACCCCUGCGGCCACAGCCAUGGCCAUGGCGACAAUAGCAACAACAACGAUCAAUCCACAUCAGCUGAUUGCUACGCUGUAAAAUCCGCUGAGGAGAUCAGUCGUGAUUAAGGGGAUGUGAUGUGAUGUCUAGCUCUCAUGGUUUUGACAUGAUUGUGGAGUCUGAUUGUGAUGAUCUUUUGGAAUAUGAAUCGCCAACCUAUCAUUAUCUCCCCUUUUCCACGAAGAAAAUGCCUUUUGAGCUAA